UAAAUUUACAGGGUGAUCUACGAUCACGCGAGCUUGGUGAAGGCGAUUGAGCAAGUCGACGGUAAUCCACAAUAUUCCUUACCAUUUUUACUAUUUUAGAUUAUGGGUUCUGUUUGGGAAUCAAAUGUAUGGUUUGUGUUGGUGCAUCAAUCUCACUGAUUACAGUCAGUUGCAGAUGAAGCAGCUAGCUAGCUUUCACCAGAAAACAAAACAGGGAUUUGAAGUCCUCGGAUAGUCAUGUCCAACUGGAUCGAUCUGCACUCAUAUGUUAAUUUGAUUUUGUAGCGGAAUGAAGAUAGAUCCUAUCCGAAGUUUAUUACCUUUUCAAUUUAAUAAGAAGAUCAGAGUCCGUGUAUGCAGAAUUUGGAGACCUAAGGUUAUAGGAAAACAUAAUACGUUUGGCGGUCUUCAAUGUAUAUUGAUUGACGAAAUGGAGAUCGGGUUUUUCGAAUUUGUGACUUUUCUUUGAAGCCUGUGAAUACCUCUAUGUUUUAG
Non-coding RNA from Malus domestica (apple), 495 nucleotides. The record is from RefSeq and is a predicted model, not a curated record. NCBI's taxonomy places the organism in Eukaryota, Viridiplantae, Streptophyta, Magnoliopsida, Rosales, Rosaceae.